Molecule: ribosomal RNA, 1800 nt
Filed under: Escherichia coli
Lineage: Bacteria; Pseudomonadati; Pseudomonadota; Gammaproteobacteria; Enterobacterales; Enterobacteriaceae
Description: partial 23S ribosomal RNA
Rfam family: Bacterial large subunit ribosomal RNA
Source: RNAcentral
GGGUUGUGAGGUUAAGCGACUAAGCGUACACGGUGGAUGCCCUGGCAGUCAGAGGCGAUGAAGGACGUGCUAAUCUGCGAUAAGCGUCGGUAAGGUGAUAUGAACCGUUAUAACCGGCGAUUUCCGAAUGGGGAAACCCAGUGUGUUUCGACACACUAUCAUUAACUGAAUCCAUAGGUUAAUGAGGCGAACCGGGGGAACUGAAACAUCUAAGUACCCCGAGGAAAAGAAAUCAACCGAGAUUCCCCCAGUAGCGGCGAGCGAACGGGGAGCAGCCCAGAGCCUGAAUCAGUGUGUGUGUUAGUGGAAGCGUCUGGAAAGGCGCGCGAUACAGGGUGACAGCCCCGUACACAAAAAUGCACAUACUGUGAGCUCGAUGAGUAGGGCGGGACACGUGGUAUCCUGUCUGAAUAUGGGGGGACCAUCCUCCAAGGCUAAAUACUCCUGACUGACCGAUAGUGAACCAGUACCGUGAGGGAAAGGCGAAAAGAACCCCGGCGAGGGGAGUGAAAAAGAACCUGAAACCGUGUACGUACAAGCAGUGGGAGCACGCUUCGGCGUGUGACUGCGUACCUUUUGUAUAAUGGGUCAGCGACUUAUAUUCUGUAGCAAGGUUAACCGAAUAGGGGAGCCGAAGGGAAACCGAGUCUUAACUGGGCGUUAAGUUGCAGGGUAUAGACCCGAAACCCGGUGAUCUAGCCAUGGGCAGGUUGAAGGUUGGGUAACACUAACUGGAGGACCGAACCGACUAAUGUUGAAAAAUUAGCGGAUGACUUGUGGCUGGGGGUGAAAGGCCAAUCAAACCGGGAGAUAGCUGGUUCUCCCCGAAAGCUAUUUAGGUAGCGCCUCGUGAAUUCAUCUCCGGGGGUAGAGCACUGUUUCGGCAAGGGGGUCAUCCCGACUUACCAACCCGAUGCAAACUGCGAAUACCGGAGAAUGUUAUCACGGGAGACACACGGCGGGUGCUAACGUCCGUCGUGAAGAGGGAAACAACCCAGACCGCCAGCUAAGGUCCCAAAGUCAUGGUUAAGUGGGAAACGAUGUGGGAAGGCCCAGACAGCCAGGAUGUUGGCUUAGAAGCAGCCAUCAUUUAAAGAAAGCGUAAUAGCUCACUGGUCGAGUCGGCCUGCGCGGAAGAUGUAACGGGGCUAAACCAUGCACCGAAGCUGCGGCAGCGACACUAUGUGUUGUUGGGUAGGGGAGCGUUCUGUAAGCCUGUGAAGGUGUGCUGUGAGGCAUGCUGGAGGUAUCAGAAGUGCGAAUGCUGACAUAAGUAACGAUAAAGCGGGUGAAAAGCCCGCUCGCCGGAAGACCAAGGGUUCCUGUCCAACGUUAAUCGGGGCAGGGUGAGUCGACCCCUAAGGCGAGGCCGAAAGGCGUAGUCGAUGGGAAACAGGUUAAUAUUCCUGUACUUGGUGUUACUGCGAAGGGGGGACGGAGAAGGCUAUGUUGGCCGGGCGACGGUUGUCCCGGUUUAAGCGUGUAGGCUGGUUUUCCAGGCAAAUCCGGAAAAUCAAGGCUGAGGCGUGAUGACGAGGCACUACGGUGCUGAAGCAACAAAUGCCCUGCUUCCAGGAAAAGCCUCUAAGCAUCAGGUAACAUUAAAUCGUACCCCAAACCGACACAGGUGGUCAGGUAGAGAAUACCAAGGCGCUUGAGAGAACUCGGGUGAAGGAACUAGGCAAAAUGGUGCCGUAACUUCGGGAGAAGGCACGCUGAUAUGUAGGUGAAGUCCCUCGCGGAUGGAGCUGAAAUCAGUCGAAGAUACCAGCUGGCUGCAACUGUUUAUUAAAAACACAG